Molecule: ribosomal RNA, 679 nt
Filed under: uncultured marine bacterium
Lineage: Bacteria
Description: bacterial SSU rRNA
Rfam family: Bacterial small subunit ribosomal RNA
Source: RNAcentral
GGAGGCAGCAGUGGGGAAUAUUGCACAAUGGGCGCAAGCCUGAUGCAGCAACGCCGCGUGAGGGAUGAAGGCCUUCGGGUUGUAAACCUCUUUUAGCAGGGAAGAAGCGAAAGUGACGGUACCUGCAGAAAAAGCACCGGCUAACUACGUGCCAGCAGCCGCGGUAAUACGUAGGGUGCAAGCGUUGUCCGGAAUUAUUGGGCGUAAAGAGCUCGUAGGCGGUUUGUCACGUCUGCUGUGAAAAUCCAAGGCUCAACCUUGGACUUGCAGUGGGUACGGGCAGGCUAGAGUGCGGUAGGGGAGAUGGGAAUUCCUGGUGUAGCGGUGGAAUGCGCAGAUAUCAGGAGGAACACCAAUGGCGAAGGCACAUCUCUGGGCCGUAACUGACGCUGAGGAGCGAAAGCGUGGGGAGCGAACAGGAUUAGAUACCCUGGUAGUCCACGCCGUAAACGGUGGGUGCUAGCUGUGGGCCACAUUCCACGUGGUCCGUGACGAAGUUAACACAUUAAGCACCCCGCCUGGGGAGUACGGCCGCAAGGCUAAAACUCAAAGGAAUUGACGGGGGCCCGCACAAGCGGCGGAGCAUGCGGAUUAAUUCGAUGCAACGCGAAGAACCUUACCAAGGCUUGACAUAUAGAGGAAAAGUGCAGAAAUGCACUCCCCGCAAGGUCUCUAUACA